Molecule: ribosomal RNA, 510 nt
Filed under: uncultured bacterium
Lineage: Bacteria
Description: partial 16S ribosomal RNA
Rfam family: Bacterial small subunit ribosomal RNA
Source: RNAcentral
GACGAACGCUGGCGGCGUGCUUAACACAUGCAAGUCGAACGAAGAGCGACGGAAGCUUGCUUCUAUCAAUCUUAGUGGCGAACGGGUGAGUAACGCGUAAUCAACCUGCCCUUCAGAGGGGGACAACAGUUGGAAACGACUGCUAAUACCGCAUACGAUCUAACCUCGGCAUCGAGGAUAGAUGAAAGGUGGCCUCUACAUGUAAGCUAUCACUGAAGGAGGGGAUUGCGUCUGAUUAGCUAGUUGGAGGGGUAACGGCCCACCAAGGCGAUGAUCAGUAGCCGGUCUGGGAGGAGGAGCGGCCACAUUGGGACUGAGACACGGCCCAGACUCCUACGGGAGGCAGCAGUGGGGAAUCUUCCGCAAUGGACGAAAGUCUGACGGAGCAACGCCGCGUGAGUGAUGACGGCCUUCGGGUUGUAAAGCUCUGUUAAUCGGGACGAAAGGCCUUCUUGCGAAUAGUGAGAAGGAUUGACGGUACCGGAAUAGAAAGCCACGGCUAACUACGUA